GAUGAACGCUGGCGGCGUGCCUAAUACAUGCAAGUCGAGCGAACAGACGAGGAGCUUGCUCCUCUGACGUUAGCGGCGGACGGGUGAGUAACACGUGGAUAACCUACCUAUAAGACUGGGAUAACUUCGGGAAACCGGAGCUAAUACCGGAUAAUAUAUUGAACCGCAUGGUUCAAUAGUGAAAGACGGUUUUGCUGUCACUUAUAGAUGGAUCCGCGCCGCAUUAGCUAGUUGGUAAGGUAACGGCUUACCAAGGCAACGAUGCGUAGCCGACCUGAGAGGGUGAUCGGCCACACUGGAACUGAGACACGGUCCAGACUCCGACGGGAGGCAGCAGUAGGGAAUCUUACGCAAUGGGCGAAAGCCUGACGAAGCAACGCCGCGUGAGUGAUGAAGGUCUUCGGAUCGUAGAACUCUGUUAUUAGGGAAGAACAAAUGUGUAAGUAACUAUGCACGUCUUGACGGUACCUAAUCAGAAAACCACGGCUAACUACGUG
This 497-nucleotide ribosomal RNA is filed under the name uncultured bacterium. RNAcentral describes it as "partial 16S ribosomal RNA". It matches the Rfam family "Bacterial small subunit ribosomal RNA", at positions 28 to 507 of the family's 1533-position model. The record is from RNAcentral.